Molecule: unclassified non-coding RNA, 247 nt
Filed under: Diaporthe sp.
Lineage: Eukaryota; Fungi; Ascomycota; Sordariomycetes; Diaporthales; Diaporthaceae
Description: partial contains 5.8S ribosomal RNA, internal transcribed spacer 2, and large subunit ribosomal RNA
Source: RNAcentral
CGCACAUUGCGCCCUCUGGUAUUCCGGAGGGCAUGCCUGUUCGAGCGUCAUUUGAACCCUCAAGCCUGGCUUGGUGAUGGGGCACUGCCUGUAAAAGGGCAGGCCCUGAAAUACAGUGGCGAGCUCGCCAGGACUCCGAGCGUAGUAGUUAAACCCUCGCUUUGGAAGGCCUGGCGGUGCCCUGCCGUUAAACCCCAACUCUUGAAAAUUUGACCUCGGAUCAGGUAGGAAUACCCGCUGAACUUAA